RNAcentral lists this transfer RNA (75 nucleotides) under Mycolicibacterium mageritense. RNAcentral describes it as "tRNA-Ile". It matches the Rfam family "tRNA". Rfam says of the family: Transfer RNA (tRNA) molecules are approximately 80 nucleotides in length. Lineage: Bacteria; Bacillati; Actinomycetota; Actinomycetes; Mycobacteriales; Mycobacteriaceae. The record is from RNAcentral. RNAcentral also lists the same sequence under 1 other name.
GCGCCGGUAGCACGGUUGGUCAGUGCGGCACGCUUAUAACGUGACGGUCGCGGGUUCGAGCCCCGCUCGGCGCAC